This is a long non-coding RNA of Thalassophryne amazonica, 86 nucleotides long. RefSeq lists it as uncharacterized. The record is from RefSeq and is a predicted model, not a curated record. NCBI's taxonomy places the organism in Eukaryota, Metazoa, Chordata, Actinopteri, Batrachoidiformes, Batrachoididae. The transcript is spliced from 4 exons.
GUUUAAUAUCAAUGCAAUUUUGUUUGUAUCCAGUAUGACAGAUCGCUAUGGUAACAACUGAUGUCCACAACAUGCUGGAAAGUUUA